Long non-coding RNA from Zea mays, 1552 nucleotides. RefSeq lists it as uncharacterized. The transcript has 2 exons. NCBI's taxonomy places the organism in Eukaryota, Viridiplantae, Streptophyta, Magnoliopsida, Poales, Poaceae. The record is from RefSeq and is a predicted model, not a curated record.
UACGUCAACACACCCAAGUCAAACCCUCCUUCCCCCCUCCCCAUCCUCGACCGUCCGCCACACCGACCGUCCGCCGCCUGAACGCGCGGUGUUGCUCCAGAACACCGGCUAGCCGCUCGAGUGGACCGACAAGCUGGCUCUGGUUCAUGCGACUCGCUAAGAUCGGGAUGUCGGACCAGCUCGAUCUGAUUUGGGAACACGGGGACAACAUAUAUCCCGGAUUCAAAUGCAAGUAUUGCAAGAAACAAUGGAAGGGAGGUGGAACUACACGUUUCAAGCAACACCUUGCAUCGCGCGCGCGGUGGGAGGGGGGGAUGUGCAAGGUUGUCGCAACGUUCUGCCGGACAUUGCUGAUUACUUUCGUCUGGAGAUUGGCAAGGUCCAUGAUAAAAAGAAAGCAAGAGUAGUGGAAGAAGCACGAAAGUUGCAAAUAGCGGGUCCGCAUUGUGGUUUCGAUGAUCAUGAUGAUGAUGUUGAGUUACAAGCUGCAAUAAGAGAUGAGGAGAUUAGGAGGCGUGCUCACGUGACUGGCGGCACGUAUGAGACAAGUGGUGGCUUGUCCCAAGGUGGUGUUCGUGCCGCGUUUGGGAGAACAUCUUCUAGGAAGGAGAAACCACGUAUGGUGCAGACAAGGAUUGAUACGAGACCAUUCUCUAAGGCGGUGUAAAGAAAAUGGACCUCGACCCAUUUGACUAAGUCAUUUUGGUGUUUGAUGAUCAACAUAAUAUGUGGACUAAUAUGUUUGCUAGUGUUUGUGUUUGUAGUUCAUAGGAUGCAAAGAGGAUUGGACUGAAGCUCCGAGGAUUCAACACCUCAAAAAAAGACCUAAACGAUGCGUAGAAGUCCAAGACUCAAGACCAAAAGAAGCCUAAGACAAUAGUGAAGAAACCCAAGAAGUGGGUAGUCAGCCAGCGCUCCGGUAGUGCACCGGACAUAUCCAAUGUACACCGGACAGUCUGCGCAUAGAGCUCCACAAAAAUGGACUCUCGGGAGUUGUAGCAUCGGACUGUCCGGCUAUCCAAACGGUCGACAAUGAAUCUUCCAACGGUCGACUGCUACAGCCCUCAACGGUCGAUAAACGUGGCAAGGGUACUGGACUGUCCGGGGCGCCCGAUGACAGAAACAACCAAUUUUCUGUCCAACGACUAUAAUGGAGGGGAGGCUAUUUAUACCCCUCUAACCAACCAUUUGAAGGUGUGGGAGCCCAAGCAACAUACCAACAUAUGUUAUAGACAUUUUCAAGUGCUCAUACACCCAAGUGCUUAAUAGAAUCACUCGGUGAUUAGCGUAGGUGCUUUGUGAAGUGCUUAGGUUAGCUAGACGACUUAUGUGCUUGCUCUAGGUAAUUCCUAGUUAGUUGAGUGAGUUUAGAAAACCCACAAAAACCCCUAAGCCCUUGUGUGAACUGUUGUAAUUGUAUAGAGUGGGGCGAGAGUCGCGAGACCAUGAGAAUCGAGUUUGUGUCACGGUCGCCACCAUGUAUCAGGGGGAACGAGGCCCACGACGUUUCAGUCGGAAGCUCGAUAGUGGAUAUGGUGAGGAGUGUAGAGGA